GACGAACGCUGGCGGCGUGCCUAAUACAUGCAAGUCGAACGAACCGCGACUGAGUGCUUGCACUUGGUCAAGGUGAGUGGCGAACGGGUGAGUAACACGUGGGUAACCUACCUCAUAGUGGGGGAUAACAGUCGGAAACGACUGCUAAUACCGCAUAGGACAUAGGAUCACAUGAUCCAGUGAGGAAAGGUGGCGCAAGCUAUCGCUAAGAGAUGGACCCGCGGUGCAUUAGCUAGUUGGUAGGGUAAAGGCCUACCAAGGCGAUGAUGCAUAGCCGACCUGAGAGGGUGAUCGGCCACAUUGGGACUGAGACACGGCCCAAACUCCUACGGGAGGCAGCAGUAGGGAAUCUUCCGCAAUGGACGCAAGUCUGACGGAGCAACGCCGUGUGAGUGAAGAAGGUCUUCGGAUCGUAAAGCUCUGUUGUUAGAGAAGAACAGCGCAUAGAGUAACUGCUAUGCGUGUGACGGUAUCUAACCAGAAAGCCACGGCUAACUACGUG
RNAcentral lists this ribosomal RNA (502 nucleotides) under uncultured bacterium. Its description in RNAcentral is "partial 16S ribosomal RNA". It matches the Rfam family "Bacterial small subunit ribosomal RNA", at positions 28 to 507 of the family's 1533-position model. The record is from RNAcentral.